GGGAAUUGCAUGGGCGAAACUGACGGAGCCCGCCGCGUGGGUGAAGAAGGGCUUCGGGUUGUAAAACUCUGUUGUUCGGGAAGAACAUGUGUGUGUUUAACUGUGGGGUCUUGGCCGGUCCUAAUCAGGAAGCCACGGCUAACUACGUGCCAGCAGCCGCGGUAAUA
This 167-nucleotide ribosomal RNA is filed under the name uncultured bacterium. RNAcentral describes it as "partial 16S ribosomal RNA". It matches the Rfam family "Bacterial small subunit ribosomal RNA", at positions 357 to 525 of the family's 1533-position model. The record is from RNAcentral.